Molecule: long non-coding RNA, 510 nt
Filed under: Salvia miltiorrhiza (redroot sage)
Lineage: Eukaryota; Viridiplantae; Streptophyta; Magnoliopsida; Lamiales; Lamiaceae
Description: long non-coding RNA (SMIL_LNC005363)
Source: RNAcentral
CACAAAUUGAUAUUAAAAUCCCAUCUUUUUCAUCCUUCUUUCAUUCGACCUCAUCGUCAUCAAAUUCUUCAAUUCCUGCACAAAAAUUCUUUCAUUCGACCUCAUCGCCAUCAAAUUCUUCAAUUCCUGCACAAAAAUUCAUUUAAUUGUGUAUAUUAAAUUCGCACAAAAUAAUUCAAGAAUAUGAACAACUAAAAUACACACAUCAAUGAUCCUUUCUCUAUCUAAUUCAAGAUAUAGGGAUCUAAAAAAUAUUCUCUCCGUCUCGUAAAAGAGUAUCACUUGUGGUUGUGAGAUAACACGAGUUUUAAGAAAUGUUUGGUUGAUAAUAUGUUGAGUGGAGAAAAUGGAUCCACUACUUUUUUAAGAAAAUGAUGAUGUGUGUGGUAGAUAAUGUGUGGAUUCAUGUCCCAAAAGGAAAACGAUAAUUUCUUAUGGGAUGGAUAAAAAUGGAAAAGUUGAUAUUUUUUUAUCGGACAGAGGGAGUAUAUUACAUCCCAUAGUCUCCAC